This 820-nucleotide ribosomal RNA is filed under the name uncultured Rhodocyclaceae bacterium. Its description in RNAcentral is "bacterial SSU rRNA". It matches the Rfam family "Bacterial small subunit ribosomal RNA", at positions 36 to 853 of the family's 1533-position model. Lineage: Bacteria; Pseudomonadati; Pseudomonadota; Betaproteobacteria; Rhodocyclales; Rhodocyclaceae. The record is from RNAcentral.
CUGGCGGAUGCUUUAAAUGCAAGUCGGGCGGCAGCAUGGACUUCGGUCUGAUGGCGAGCGGCGAACGGGUGAGUAAUGCAUCGGAACGUACCUAGUCGUGGGGGAUAACUAGUCGAAAGAUUAGCUAAUACCGCAUACGUCCUACGGGAGAAAGCAGGGGAUCGCAAGACCUUGCGCGAUUGGAGCGGCCGAUGUCUGAUUAGCUAGUUGGUGGGGUAAAGGCUCACCAAGGCGACGAUCAGUAGCGGGUCUGAGAGGAUGAUCCGCCACACUGGAACUGAGACACGGUCCAGACUCCUACGGGAGGCAGCAGUGGGGAAUUUUGGACAAUGGGGGCAACCCUGAUCCAGCCAUUCCGCGUGAGUGAAGAAGGCCUUCGGGUUGUAAAGCUCUUUCGGCAGGAACGAAACGGUUCGCUCUAACAUAGCGGACUACUGACGGUACCUGAAGAAGAAGCACCGGCUAACUACGUGCCAGCAGCCGCGGUAAUACGUAGGGUGCGAGCGUUAAUCGGAAUUACUGGGCGUAAAGCGUGCGCAGGCGGCUUUUUAAGCCAGAUGUGAAAUCCCCGGGCUUAACCUGGGAACUGCAUUUGGAACUGGAAGGCUAGAGUGCGGCAGAGGGGGGUAGAAUUCCACGUGUAGCAGUGAAAUGCGUAGAGAUGUGGAGGAAUACCGAUGGCGAAGGCAGCCCCCUGGGUCGACACUGACGCUCAUGCACGAAAGCGUGGGGAGCAAACAGGAUUAGAUACCCUGGUAGUCCACGCCCUAAACGAUGUCAACUAGUUGUUGGAGGAGUGAAAUCCUUUAGUAACGAAGCU